RNAcentral lists this long non-coding RNA (299 nucleotides) under Physcomitrium patens. RNAcentral describes it as "long non-coding RNA (PPAT_LNC001661)". The record is from RNAcentral. Lineage: Eukaryota; Viridiplantae; Streptophyta; Bryopsida; Funariales; Funariaceae.
CAUUCAUUGAUACACUUCUUUUAGAUUCAAUACUAUCAUGGUUUUUAUCUUUUUUUGAACAACAAGAUACAAUAUUAAAUAAUCUAGAAGCAUUUUUUGCAAAAUUUCUAUCUAUGUAUGGAAAACAUGAUGCAGCUCAUGUUGAAAUCAACAAGAUCCAUAUUUUGUAAUAAGACAAUUGAUCUGUAAGAGUAUAUGCUUUACAGUUUUGAUAACUUGUAACUAAUAUGAAGUAGAAUAAUGCUACACUUAUUAGCCAAUUUUUCUAUAGAUUACAAUAUGAAGUAAAGAAAUUGAUG